AAAGAAUUAGUUAAUCCCCAUAACAUUAAAUUGUCAAUUUAAAAUUAUUAUUCAAUACAAAUAAUAUUCUUUU
Molecule: transfer RNA, 73 nt
Filed under: Stenamma megamanni
Lineage: Eukaryota; Metazoa; Arthropoda; Insecta; Hymenoptera; Formicidae
Description: tRNA-Asp
Source: RNAcentral